This 497-nucleotide ribosomal RNA is filed under the name uncultured bacterium. RNAcentral describes it as "partial 16S ribosomal RNA". It matches the Rfam family "Bacterial small subunit ribosomal RNA", at positions 28 to 507 of the family's 1533-position model. The record is from RNAcentral.
GAUGAACGCUGGCGGCAUGCCUAAUACAUGCAAGUCGGGCGGACGGACGUGAAUCUUGUGUCGGUGAUGUUAGCGACGGACAGGUGAGUACCACGUGGAUAACCUCCACAUAAGACUAGGAUAACUACUGGAAACCAUAGCUAAUACCGGAUAAUAGUAUCAACCGCAUGGGGCAAAAGUGAAAGACGGGCUAGCUGUUAAUUAUAGAUGUAUCCGCGGUGCAUUAGCUAGUUGGUAAGGUAACGGCUUACCAAGGCAACGAUGAAUAGCCGACCUGAGAGGCGGAGCGGCGCCACUGGGACUGAGUGACGGGCCAGACUCCUACGGGGGCAAGCAGUAGGGAACCUUGCGAAAUGGGCGAAAGCAUGACGGAGCAACGCCGCGUGGGCGAUGAAGGCCUUCGGGUCGGAAAACUCUGUGAUUAGGGAAGAACAUAUGUGUAAGUAGCUGUACACAUCUUGACGGUACCUAAUCAAAAAGCCACGGCUAACUACGUG